AGGCUCGUGAUGUAACGACAGCAUUCCGGAUUUUGGCUCCGGGCGUUCAGGUUUGAAUCCUGGCGAGCCUG
RNAcentral lists this transfer RNA (71 nucleotides) under Nocardia ignorata. It matches the Rfam family "tRNA". From Rfam's summary of the family: Transfer RNA (tRNA) molecules are approximately 80 nucleotides in length. Their secondary structure includes four short double-helical elements and three loops (D, anti-codon, and T loops). The record is from Rfam by way of RNAcentral. Lineage: Bacteria; Bacillati; Actinomycetota; Actinomycetes; Mycobacteriales; Nocardiaceae.